RNAcentral lists this ribosomal RNA (274 nucleotides) under uncultured bacterium. Its description in RNAcentral is "partial 16S ribosomal RNA". It matches the Rfam family "Bacterial small subunit ribosomal RNA", at positions 523 to 796 of the family's 1533-position model. The record is from RNAcentral.
CUACGGAGGGUGCAAGCGUUACUCGGAAUCACUGGGCGUAAAGCGCGCGCAGGCGGCUAUUUAAGUUGGAUGUGAAAGCCUACGGCUCAACCGUAGAACUGCAUCCAAAACUAUUUAGCUAGAGUGUGGGAGAGGAAGAUGGAAUUAGUUGUGUAGGGGUAAAAUCCGUAGAGAUAACUAGGAAUACCGAAAGCGAAGGCAAUCUUCUGGAACACUACUGACGCUGAGGCGCGAAAGCGUGGGGAGCAAACAGGAUUAGAAACCCUAGUAGUCC